This is a long non-coding RNA of Pimephales promelas (fathead minnow), 798 nucleotides long. RefSeq lists it as uncharacterized. NCBI's taxonomy places the organism in Eukaryota, Metazoa, Chordata, Actinopteri, Cypriniformes, Leuciscidae. The record is from RefSeq and is a predicted model, not a curated record.
ACUUUUGCAAUGGUUAAAUAAAUGUUCAGUAAUAUCUUCAAUACAUAGGCUAUAUACUUUUUAAAUUCUAUAGUGUUAAUAUGGCAACUAGAAAAUUCGUCCGCUAACCUACAUAAUGUGUCGUGUUUCAAAUCAAUGCCAGUUGGAACUCCUAAUCAAAUGAUAACAUUAAUUACUGCCAGGUGGUGGUUAAUUAAUUGAAUUAACGAGAUGAGUGCGUUCCUGAUAUGUUCAAGUCUGAAGAGUGGCUUGAUAAGGGUUAGCCUUGGGUGAUCUGUUCUCAUGGCUGUGAGGGAGAGUUGUGUUUGGGAGAAGCUCAUUUUCACCCUUUUUCUCUUUGCUGUUGAUGGACUUAAAGAACCAGGUUAUUCAUGGUGAAUUUCCCUGUGGUGAUUGAGUCUGGAUCUGACUCCAAAUUAUGCAUAACUCCUCUGAAACCCCAAGAGAUUGGUAGGGGGUUUUCCCUCUGCUUUUGUUUCCAGGCUCCUCGGGUAGAUGGAGAUUUGGUGCAGAGGUUGAAGUUCAAGGGGUGGUCGAGGUCGCCUAUCUUUGUGUCUCACUGUCUCAUCGCUUCUCUGGCUACGUGGUGUGCUCCACCUCCAUCACCUCCGGUAAUCCCCUUGGUAGUGUUGGGACUCUUCACUCCAUGGCUACUCCAUUCUGCGCCGCCGCCGUGGGAUGCAGUCCUGACUGUGGGCUUGGUCUCCGUCUGCCCUUCCCUGCUCAAGGCCAUCCCCCCUGGCCGUCACCACCAUCUGCACCAACCUUUUUUCAUGGUUCUCUUCGGCUUUUUAUUGC